This 56-nucleotide ribosomal RNA is filed under the name Cookeina speciosa. RNAcentral describes it as "partial 25S ribosomal RNA". Lineage: Eukaryota; Fungi; Ascomycota; Pezizomycetes; Pezizales; Sarcoscyphaceae. The record is from RNAcentral.
AUUGACCUCGGAUCAGGUAGGGACACCCCCGCUGAACUUAAGCAUAUCAAUAACCC